AUACCUUCCUCGGCCUUUUGGCUAAGAUCAAGUGUAGUAUCUGUUCUUAUCAGUUUAAUCUGAUACGUGGGCUAUUGGCUCACACGAUAUUAAAUUUAUUUUUUAACGGGGAGAUUCUAUAACAGUAGCUUGCUACUGGGGCUCUCGAGCGUAGCCCAGGCGUUGCACUAUAGCUCGGAUCCGGCGCACUCCAC
Molecule: small nuclear RNA, 194 nt
Filed under: Gossypium hirsutum (cotton)
Lineage: Eukaryota; Viridiplantae; Streptophyta; Magnoliopsida; Malvales; Malvaceae
Description: U2 spliceosomal RNA
Rfam family: U2 spliceosomal RNA
About the family: U2 is a small nuclear RNA (snRNA) component of the spliceosome (involved in pre-mRNA splicing). Complementary binding between U2 snRNA (in an area lying towards the 5' end but 3' to hairpin I) and the branchpoint sequence (BPS) of the intron results the bulging out of an unpaired adenosine, on the BPS, which initiates a nucleophilic attack at the intronic 5' splice site, thus starting the first of two transesterification reactions that mediate splicing.
Source: Rfam by way of RNAcentral